UACGUAGGGUGCGAGCGUUAAUCGGAAUUACUGGGCGUAAAGCGUGCGUAGGCGGUUCGUUAUGUCUGCUGUGAAAUCCCCGGGCUCAACCUGGGAAUGGCAGUGGAAACUGGCGGGCUUGAGUGUGGCAGAGGGGGGUGGAAUUCCCGGUGUAGCGGUGAAAUGCGUAGAGAUCGGGAGGAACACCAGUGGCGAAGGCGGCUACCUGGACCAGCACUGACACUCAGGCACGAAAGCGUGGGGAGCAAACAGG
Molecule: ribosomal RNA, 253 nt
Filed under: uncultured bacterium
Lineage: Bacteria
Description: partial 16S ribosomal RNA
Rfam family: Bacterial small subunit ribosomal RNA
Source: RNAcentral